UACGUAGGGUCCAAGCGUUAUCCGGAAUCACUGGGCGUAAAGCGUUCGUAGGCGGGUAUUUAAGUGAGAUGUGAAAGCGUGUGGCUCAACCAUAUCGUUGUGUCUCAUACUGGGUACCUGGAGGAAGGCAGAGGCAAGUGGAAUUGGCAGUGUAGCAGUGAAAUGCGUAGAGAUUGCCAGGAACACCAAUGGCGAAGGCAGCUUGCUGGGCCUUUUCUGACGCUGAGGAACGAAAGCGUGGGGAGCGAACAGG
RNAcentral lists this ribosomal RNA (253 nucleotides) under uncultured bacterium. RNAcentral describes it as "partial 16S ribosomal RNA". It matches the Rfam family "Bacterial small subunit ribosomal RNA", at positions 524 to 776 of the family's 1533-position model. The record is from RNAcentral.